RNAcentral lists this ribosomal RNA (443 nucleotides) under uncultured bacterium. RNAcentral describes it as "bacterial SSU rRNA". It matches the Rfam family "Bacterial small subunit ribosomal RNA", at positions 29 to 506 of the family's 1533-position model. The record is from RNAcentral.
AUGAACGCUGGCGGCACGUCUGACACAUGCAAGUCGAACGGUAAGGGGAGCUUGCUCCCCCUAGAGUGGCGAACGGCUGAGUAACACGUAGGAACCUACCCCUCAGUUCGGGAUAACGGUCCGAAAGGAUCGCUAAUACCGGAUAAUACAGCAAUGUUGAAAGGUUUACUGCUGAGGGAGGGGCCUGCGGGCUAUUAGCUUGAUGGUGGGGUAACGGCCUACCAUGGCUAUGAUGGCUAGCUGGUCUGAGAGGAUGAUCAGCCAGACUGGGACUGAGACACGGCCCAGACUCCUACGGGAGGCAGCAGUUCAGAAUCUUGCACAAUGGGCGAAAGCCUGAUGCAGCGAUGCCGCGUGGGUGAAGAAGGCUCUCGGGUCGUAAAGCCCUGUCAGAGGGGAAGAAUAAUGACGGUACCCUCUAAGGAAGCCACGGCUAAUUACGU